ACAAGGUUAUGUAACUGACGGAAGUGGAACAACCACGGGGAGCAUAAUCAUGUUUCGAGCCGACCGUCUGGGCUGAGAUU
This is a regulatory RNA element of 80 nucleotides. It matches the Rfam family "ZMP/ZTP riboswitch aptamer (pfl RNA motif)". From Rfam's summary of the family: Previously known as pfl RNA. ZMP is also known as AICAR. The record is from Rfam.